CCUACGGGCGGCUGCAGUGGGGAAUAUUGGACAAUGGGGGGAACCCUGAUCCAGCCAUGCCGCGUGUGUGAAGAAGGCCCUCGGGUUGUAAAGCACUUUCAGUGAGGAAGAACGCCUGGUGGUUAAUACCCAUCAGGAAAGACAUCACUCACAGAAGAAGCACCGGCUAACUCCGUGCCAGCAGCCGCGGUAAUACGGAGGGUGCGAGCGUUAAUCGGAAUUACUGGGCGUAAAGCGCGCGUAGGUGGCUUGAUAAGCCGGUUGUGAAAGCCCCGGGGUCAACCUGGGAACGGCAUCCGGAACUGUCAAGCUAGAGUGCAGGAGAGGAAGGUAGAAUUCCCGGUGUAGCGGUGAAAUGCGUAGAGAUCGGGAGGAAUACCAGUGGCGAAGGCGGCCUUCUGGACUGACACUGACACUGAGGUGCGAAAGCGUGGGUAGCAAACAGGAUUAGAUACCCUUGUAGUC
Molecule: ribosomal RNA, 465 nt
Filed under: Vreelandella stevensii
Lineage: Bacteria; Pseudomonadati; Pseudomonadota; Gammaproteobacteria; Oceanospirillales; Halomonadaceae
Description: partial 16S ribosomal RNA
Rfam family: Bacterial small subunit ribosomal RNA
Source: RNAcentral